GAUGAACGCUGGCGGCGUGCCUUAUACAUGCAAGUCGAGUGGGUUUAGACCCACGGCACACGGGUGAGUAACACGUAGGUACUUUCCUUGUCACAGGAAUAACCCUCCGAAAGGAGGGCUAAUACCUGAUGUGAUCGCAAGAUUAAAGGGUAUCCGCAAGGAUUACCGGACAAGAAGAGGCCUGCGGCCUAUCAGCUAGUUGGCGGGGUAAAUGCCCACCAAGGCUAUGACGGGUAGCUGGUCUUAUGAGGAUGAUCAGUCACAUGGGCACUGAGACACGGGCCCAACUCCUACGGGAGGCAGCAGUAGGGAAUUUUGCGCAAGGGGCGAAAGCCGGACGCAGCGACGCCGCGUGCGGGAUGAAGGCCUUCGGGUCGUAAACCGCUUUUAUAAGGGACGAACUUUGACGGUACCUUAUGAAUAAGAGGUUGCUAACUCUGUG
Molecule: ribosomal RNA, 442 nt
Filed under: uncultured bacterium
Lineage: Bacteria
Description: partial 16S ribosomal RNA
Rfam family: Bacterial small subunit ribosomal RNA
Source: RNAcentral